GACGAACGCUGGCGGCGUGCUUAACACAUGCAAGUCGAACGGAAAGGCCCUUCGGGGUACUCGAGUGGCGAACGGGUGAGUAACACGUUGGUGAUCUGCCCUGCACUUUGGGAUAAGCCUGGGAAACUGGGUCUAAUACCGAAUAGGACCGCGCGCUUCAUGGUGUGUGGUGGAAAGCUUUUGCGGUGUGGGAUGGGCCCGCGGCCUAUCAGCUUGUUGGUGGGGUAAUGGCCUACCAAGGCGACGACGGGUAGCCGGCCUGAGAGGGUGACCGGCCACACUGGGACUGAGAGACGGCCCAGACUCCUACGGGAGGCAGCAGUGGGGAAUAUUGCACAAUGGGCGCAAGCCUGAUGCAGCGACGCCGCGUGAGGGAUGACGGCCUUCGGGUUGUAAACCUCUUUCACCAGGGACGAAGAGCAAGUGACGGUACCUGGAGAAGAAGCACCGGCCAACUACGUG
RNAcentral lists this ribosomal RNA (462 nucleotides) under uncultured bacterium. RNAcentral's name for it is "partial 16S ribosomal RNA". It matches the Rfam family "Bacterial small subunit ribosomal RNA", at positions 28 to 507 of the family's 1533-position model. The record is from RNAcentral.